Molecule: ribosomal RNA, 218 nt
Filed under: Salmonella enterica
Lineage: Bacteria; Pseudomonadati; Pseudomonadota; Gammaproteobacteria; Enterobacterales; Enterobacteriaceae
Description: partial 23S ribosomal RNA
Rfam family: Bacterial large subunit ribosomal RNA
Source: RNAcentral
CCGAAUGGGGAAACCCAGUGUGACUCGUCACACUAUCAUUAACUGAAUCCAUAGGUUAAUGAGGCGAACCGGGGGAACUGAAACAUCUAAGUACCCCGAGGAAAAGAAAUCAACCGAGAUUCCCCCAGUAGCGGCGAGCGAACGGGGAGGAGCCCAGAGCCUGAAUCAGCAUGUGUGUUAGUGGAAGCGUCUGGAAAGGCGCGCGAUACAGGGUGACA